UACAGAGGUCUCAAGCGUUGUUCGGAUUCAUUGGGCGUAAAGGGCGCGUAGGCGGCGGGGUAAGUCUGGUGUGAAAUCUAGGAGCUCAACUCCUAAACUGCACUGGAUACUGCUCUGCUAGAGGACUGGAGAGGAGACUGGAAUUCCGCGUGUAGCAGUGAAAUGCGUAGAUAUGCGGAGGAACACCGAUGGCGAAGGCAAUCCCCUGGGCCUGCACUGACGCUCAUGCACGAAAGCGUGGGGAGCGAACAGG
Molecule: ribosomal RNA, 253 nt
Filed under: uncultured bacterium
Lineage: Bacteria
Description: partial 16S ribosomal RNA
Rfam family: Bacterial small subunit ribosomal RNA
Source: RNAcentral